UGAACGCUGGCGGCGUGCCUAAUACAUGCAAGUCGAGCGAACGGACGAGAAGCUUGCUUCUCUGAUGUUAGCGGCGGACGGGUGAGUAACACGUGGAUAACCUACCUAUAAGACUGGGAUAACUUCGGGAAACCGGAGCUAAUACCGGAUAAUAUUUUGAACCGCAUGGUUCAAAAGUGAAAGACGGUCUUGCUGUCACUUAUAGAUGGAUCCGCGCUGCAUUAGCUAGUUGGUAAGGUAACGGCUUACCAAGGCAACGAUGCAUAGCCGACCUGAGAGGGUGAUCGGCCACACUGGAACUGAGACACGGUCCAGACUCCUACGGGAGGCAGCAGUAGGGAAUCUUCCGCAAUGGGCGAAAGCCUGACGGAGCAACGCCGCGUGAGUGAUGAAGGUCUUCGGAUCGUAAAACUCUGUUAUUAGGGAAGAACAUAUGUGUAAGUAUCUGUGCACAUCUUGACGGUACCUAAUCAGAAAGCCACGGCUAACUACGUG
This 495-nucleotide ribosomal RNA is filed under the name uncultured bacterium. RNAcentral's name for it is "partial 16S ribosomal RNA". It matches the Rfam family "Bacterial small subunit ribosomal RNA", at positions 30 to 507 of the family's 1533-position model. The record is from RNAcentral.